Molecule: unclassified non-coding RNA, 3772 nt
Filed under: Leishmania donovani
Lineage: Eukaryota; Euglenozoa; Kinetoplastea; Trypanosomatida; Trypanosomatidae
Description: gene:LdHU3.35.6460(CDS-product:hypothetical_prote in_conserved)
Source: RNAcentral
CUUGCACAUGCGCCUCUCUGUGCCCCUCCUCACCCAACGGGGACAUCCUUGCACCCGAUAAAGAGAGUGACAGUCACGCGCUGCACACGUUUCCGUUGCGACCGCUUGGCUCAUGUGCUCACUUUUGUUUCUCAACGCCCGGGAUCCUUAAAACAAACAAAAGUAAAAAAAGACCCAUUAGCCGAGCACAUCCACACACCGAUGUCGGCGGCGAUGUCGCGUAGCAUGCCGGCGUCGUUCGCCGCGAAGGACGAUGACAAACACUACAAGAUGUGCAAGAAGAUUGCGCAACUCACCAAGGUGAUUUACACCUUGAACAACCGAUGCGAGGACAACGAGCAGCGCACCGAGUGGCUGCACCAGGCGCACAUGCAGGAAAGAGCGCAGCUCUGCCAGGAGUACGAGUCGCUGCUAGAGAAGCUUCAGCAGCAGAUUCGCGGCUUGCAGGCAGACAAGAUCAACAUUGCAGCGUCCCUAGAGCGGUCUCAGAAAGAGCAGCUCCAAGCAGCGCAGGAGGAGUUCAAGACACGACUUGCCGCUCUCUCAGAACAGGUCAGUGAGCAGGAGUCGAGAUAUGACAGCGCAUUGCUGGAGGAGAAGCAGCGAAUGGCCGCCGAACUGGCUGCCGAGACGAAGCGCGUGCGAGAGUGCAAGGACUUGGAACUGGCAAACCUCGUACGCGAGUACAACGACAAGUACAAGGCCAUGCUUGCCGAGCAGCUGGACUCGAGAGAUGCUCUGGAGGAAACACUCAAGAGGGAGUGGGGGAGUAAAGUCGAUGCACUUCAGGCAGAGCUGGCAGCGGCGCAGGGCAGCGCGAGCGCGCAGCUGCAAUCGAAGUCCAGGCUGCUGCAGGAGGCUCUGCAGCGAUGCGCGACGCUGGCCAACGAGAGGGACCUAUCAGCGGCUUCGCGUGAUGAGGCGCAUACACAGUUACAGACGCUGCAAGGGCAGCUGGGGCGCAUCGAGGGGGAGUUAGCGGACGAGCGGCGCCAGCGUGCGGCUUCCGACGAACUCAAAACGGAGCUGGAGGCGAGACUGGCAUCCUUGGAUACCAAGCGAAAUGCCCUUCAGAAAGAAUGCGCGGAGGCACAGCAGUCCCUGGCGGCUGAGAAGGCGCUCAACGCACGCCGAGCGGCCGCGGUGCAGGCGCUGGAGAACGAGAAAGCGUCCCUGUCGACGUCGAAGGAGGCGCUGGCUCAGGAGCUGGAGGGCUGCAAGGCUGCCCUCACCGCCAGUAAGGCACAACGCGACGCCGCGGAGGCACAACUCCGCGACCUGCACGCCUCCUCUGCUACCCAUGCCUCCUUGUUGAGUGACACCAGAUCGCAGCUAGAUGAGGCGAAGCAGCGCUUGGCGACGGCGCUAAAUCAGGCGGCCGAGGCGGCGCGCAUUUCCCAGGCGAAGCACGAGGAGGAGCUACGCAACGCGCGUGCAUCGCUGAAGUCGAACUCGUCCUCUGAGCAGCAGAGAUUGAUAGAGGCGCACAAGAAGGAAAGUGAUGCGCUUAAGCGGACGCAUGAGGCAGAGAUGCUUCGACUACAGACAGAGAUGCAGCGACUGCAAACAGAGAACGCUGCCACGCAAGAGUUAUUUCAAAGGACUGCGAAGGAUGCGGAAGUCGCCGCUGCAAAGAUUGCCGCCCUGACGGCUCAGUGCGAGGAGCAUGAUGCGCUGCUCCAAAGUCGAGCUGAGGAGAGCGCAGCAGAGCGCCUCCAGCUGGAGCAGCAGCUGCUGCAGCUGCAGCGCGAGGUGGAAGCCGCCAGAAACGACGGAGCAGAGGGGGCAGCCGCUCAGGUGGCCGCGCUAGAGCGCGCGCAGGCGGAGCACGCCGCGGUCUGCGCUGCCGCGGAAGCCGCACACGCCAAGGCGCUUCGUGAGGCAGAAGAGAAGAGUGCUGCACAGCUCGAAAGCGCUUCCCGAAGCAACGCCGCGUUGGUGAAGGCCAUGCAGAAACAACACUCGGCUGCCAUGGAGCGAGCGAAGGAAGACGCGGCGGCGCAGGCUGCCUCCAUAAGCCGCAACGUCGAGACCCAGCUUGCUGCUCUGCGGCGCGACUAUGACGAAAGGCUCGCUGCGGUGCGUACGGCCGCGGCGGCGACUGAGGGAAAGCUUCACACACUCAUCUCGGAGCUGCAGGCGCAGCUGCGUCAGGCUCUUAGCGAGACGGCGGCUCUUCAAACGUCCAACAUUGACAUGCGUGAGCAGCGGCAGGCGGAGAUCGCGCUGCUGAAGGCCGCCAUGGAGAAGGCUCAAACGGAGGCAGCUGCCGUGCUCGAUCGUACGCGCAGCGAUGCUGACGCGCAGCGACGCGACGAAGUUCACGCACUGGAGGUGGUGCGUCAGCGGCAGGUUGCUGCGGAGCGGCAGCGCUAUGAGGCCGCCGUGGCAGCUGGCAAGGAGCAGAUGGCGAGAAUGGAGGCGCGCUUCGACGAGCGCAUCGAAGCCGCGGAGGCACACCUACAAGAGACUGUAGCGGCGCUGAAAGCGGCGCGGAUAAAGGGCAUGCAGGAGCUGGAGGAGCAACUCAACACGGCGCAUCAGCUGCGGGUGCGUGAGCUCACCGCAACGCACGACGCUGAGCGCGGCCAACUCCAAGACACGAUUGGUACAAUGGACGCCAAGCUCAAGGAGCUGAUUUCCUCGAUGGCCAGCAAGGAGGAGAAUUUAGACAGACUCCUCGCCCAGCGUGACCAGUUGCUAGAGGAGGUCACCACGGCGAAGCGCAACGGUGCGGCCGCUGUAGUGACCGAGCAGAAUCGUCGUGCGGCGGACCUGGAGCAGCUUCGUGUGGAACAUGAAAGGGAACUGAAAGCUCUCGGCGACGCGCACAAGGAGAUCGUGGACGAUUUUGUGCGGCAGCAGGCCGAGGAGCGGCGUGCGCACCAGGGUCUUGUAGACGAGCUGCGUAGCACGGUAGAGGAACUGCAGUACAAGUACCACUACCGCGAAUCUCGUCCAGAGGACGUCGAGCUCAUUAAUAAGCUUCUUCAGGACAGCAAGGAAAAGGAAUUGGCUUUGAGCAAGGCCUACGAGGACAUGCGGCUGUACAAGCUGGAGCUCAUCAACAGAGAGGAGAACUACAACAAAGUCUUUGGCCGACACCCCAACGUGGCGGACUACUCUGCCGUCGCACAGGCGGCCGGAAAGCGUCCGUCCUCGCUUCCCCGUAUCGGCGCUACACGCCAGCACUCGACACGGUAGCCGCAUGGGCAUGUCUGCACAUACGCAGCUGCGUGUGUACCUGUAUCUGUGCCGGCAUUUCUUGAUUGUUUUGUGGAGUUGUCUGUGCCGUUCAUAUGCGCAGCGCUUGCUCCGUCUUUGUUUACCGAUUUGGCUCGACGCGUCUGGCGCGUGCGUUCCGUAACCUCUCACGGCAUCUGCUCGCCUCGCUCACCCCGCCUCUCCCCUCAUGGCACCCCACACGGUCCCGCUGGGAUCUGCCGAUUCGCGGAGUUCAUGCGUGUGCCUGCUGUUCGGUGUGCUGCCGUGCUCGUUGGCUCACGUUCGCAGAGGAGGGGGGGGGCGGGGAUGCUGUCGCGGCAGGGUGCGGGUGCCCAUGUAUACAAUAUACCAAUAGAAGUACUUUAUACGCUUAUUUUCUGUGCUUCUCUUCGCGUGCUUCGAACCGUCUUCUUCACCUGUAGCUGUUCUCUCUCGUCACUUCAUCUUUUCUCCGAGUAACUGCGCCUGCGGACACAGCGGCUUGAGGAAGCGAGGGCAGGUGCCCGCCGAGAGCAGCAACAGACUGACAGACUCACAUUGCAGCAAG